AUACGGAGGGUGCAAGCGUUGUUCGGAAUCACUGGGCGUAAAGGGCGCGCAGGCGGUUUGGUAAGUCAGAUGUGAGAGCCCAUGGCUCAACCAUGGAAGUGCAUUUGAAACUGUCAGACUUGAGUACUAGAGGGGAAAGUGGAAUUCCCGGUGUAGAGGUGAAAUUCGUAGAUAUCGGGAGGAAUACCGGUGGCGAAGGCGACUUUCUGGCUAGAUACUGACGCUGAGGCGCGAAAGCGUGGGGAGCAAACAGGAUUAGAAACCCCGGUAGUCC
This 274-nucleotide ribosomal RNA is filed under the name uncultured bacterium. RNAcentral's name for it is "partial 16S ribosomal RNA". It matches the Rfam family "Bacterial small subunit ribosomal RNA", at positions 523 to 796 of the family's 1533-position model. The record is from RNAcentral.